UCUAAGACGGCUGUAGUAAAUAGCUUACACGACUGAUCAGGCUCAUCAACCUAUGGAACCUCACGCUAUGUUGCUAUGAUUCUUUUAUCACGAAAGCAUGUCGGGCGAAGGAAUAAAACGUGUACAACACUAGCAAGAAGAGACUUGCCAAAGAAUUCGAUGCCUCACAGGAUCCUGCAAAAGCGGAGUCCAAAAAAGCACGAGUCGGGUCAGCGGUUUCAGAUUCAGAUAGUUCAGUUCAAUCAUCAUCUGACACCUUUCGGUGCUAUUCCUUUUGAAACUGGCGUUUCUUUUGUAAAAUAAUUCGAUGCCCCUGCGAAAAACCGAGUCAAGAAAGAGGUAAGGGCCGGGUCAGAGGCGGAACAGACAUUCAAAG
This 376-nucleotide long non-coding RNA is filed under the name Hordeum vulgare. RNAcentral describes it as "long non-coding RNA (HVUL_LNC012596)". The record is from RNAcentral. Lineage: Eukaryota; Viridiplantae; Streptophyta; Magnoliopsida; Poales; Poaceae.